GUGGAUUAGAUACCCGGGUAGUCCACGCCGUAAACGAUGGAUACUUGCUGUUGGAUUUUCGGAUUCAGUGGCUAAGCGAAAGUUAUAAGUAUCCCACCUGGGGAGUACGUUCGCAAGAAUGAAACUCAAAGGAAUUGACGGGGGCCCGCACAAGCGGUGGAGCAUGUGGUUUAAUUCGAUGAUACGCGAGGAACCUUACCAAGGCUUAAAUGCAUAAUGACGUAUUUGGAAACAGAUAUUUCUUCGGACAGAAUGCAAGGUGCUGCACGGCCGUCGACAACU
This 282-nucleotide ribosomal RNA is filed under the name uncultured bacterium. RNAcentral's name for it is "partial 16S ribosomal RNA". It matches the Rfam family "Bacterial small subunit ribosomal RNA", at positions 773 to 1060 of the family's 1533-position model. The record is from RNAcentral.